CCUCCCGAUUGCACCCUGCUGUUAUGCAAUCAAGGGUGGGCUCUGGCUCAGGAUGCUGCCCUGGCACCUCUGCUGGCUUUGGGAAGGGAUUCAGCUUGAUGCCAACUCAUGGGUCUGCUUUGUGUGGAGCGUGCUGGGGUCCUGUCCCUGUCCGUCUUUGGCACUGCACCCAAUGGAGAACUCCAGUGUGCAGGGCUCACCUGGUUUCCCAAGUUGUGACAUCCUCAACCAACAGAGGAAGUGUUUGAUAGGGCAAAUCUGGGCAAAAACAUCCUUGUCACUGGUUUUUCAUCUUUUGGAAACCAGUAUCCUAAAGCAGACCCAGGCAUGUUGGCUUUCCAGGUAGGACACGUUGGCCUUGCUAUGGAGGUCUGCCACAUCCCCACCCUCUGUCUCUACCUCUUCCUGGGGAGAGUAAGGCUUGGCCUUGUCUGUGCAGGGCAAGAGCUCUGCAUGUUCUUUAAGAGGAAAUAUGUGUGGGUGCUUUGCUGUUGUGUUCAGCCUUGCUGCUCUGCUCCCCUGCUGUGGAAUACUGAGGAUCCCAAGCAGGAGUUCAUUCUGAAGAGUGGGGUUGUUGGAAAUGGAACUGUAUGAAAGCCUAAAGUCAGAGAUAACUGAAUUGUUUGUGUGGGAUGAGACAUUAACUUGCUUUCCUUUAUUCUAAUUAAAGCAAUGAUUUUGUUUUAUUCGGGGCCACAGGAAGACUUUCUCACCCGCUCAUAGGACAAGCUGAGGAGCUGGAGCAGGACAGCGGCUCUGGGGUUUGUGCUUGGCCACAAUAAACACAGGCUGAAGUAUGGCACACAGUCUGGGCUGAAACCUUUGGUGUUGAACUGAAGUCUGACACGGUUUGUGCUUUGCAAAACAAAUCCCUAAGGAUGAAGAUUUCCAAGAGUCAGACCUGCAGCCCUGAGGAUUCUUGCAUUCCAUACCCAGCUCCCCAUUGGGGUGCUCUGCUCUACAGGAGACAGUCAGGGUCGCAUACAGGAACAGCAUGGCUAGUUGCUUCAUUUUGUUCUCUACACGCCACACAACAAGGCAUUUGGCUGUGGAAUGGGGAGCAAGGAAGAAGUGCUGCAUGCUUUGAGGUUAUAGCUGCAUUUUGCCUUUCAGUAAAGGAGCUUCUGAGCUUAUGUACAUCGUGCUCUGAGAGGAGGGGUUCUGCCUGGGUUCCCUCAAGUCUUCAUCAUUCAUGAUGGAAAGAAUAUUUUUCACUGAAGGAUUCCUGUGAAAAAAGAAAAAAAAAAAAUAAGCUGUUACAUGGUAGCACCUUUACAACAGUUCUAGAAGUGAUUUUAUCAGUUUGGUUUUAUGCUCAGCUCUUUGAUAGCUACACUACAUUAUCCCAUUGCUUUUGGAGAUGUCUGUAGAUUUGCUUUCUGCUUCUGAUCAGAGUUGGUGGACGUUUCAGUUGGGAGGAAAGAUGUAAGCAUCCACCCACUGGUGUGUUCCAGAGGGCAAAAGUUGUCACAACCAAUAUUCCUUUGCAACAGUCUGCCUCUGAAACAUUAACAGCUGCUUAUAGCAUCAGGGAGCUCGGGUCCAAGUGCAUUGUGACAGGAACAGGAAACGCCAUCACCAAUCUUCUUGAACCACUGCAACAGUGAUUUGGAUAUUUUUUGUGAUGGGGAGGUAUGUUUCACCAAUAUGAAUCUCCACAGCUUGGGUAUACUUGGAAAUGUCUCCAUGGGUGUUUUCUACAGCAGUAGGUUACCAGUCCCCCAUGACAGCCCCAUCGAUUUCAUGUUACCCAACAACGGACACUUACAUACAACCUGGUCUGCCCGAACCUUCCAAGGAGAGCACGUAUCAUCCUGCACAUGUAGGGCAGAAAAAAAAUGAUAUGCUUGCAACACUGAUCAAGGAUUGCUUCUGUAGAAUACUGCAAGAGGUUGCAAUCAAUCAGAUUUUGUUGGAACGAGCAAGCAGGAAGAGCGAUAACGCGUUCGUAAUGCGUCAGCAAGAAUUGUAAUCAACAGUAACAUAAAUUUAUAGGCCUUGUAUAGGAUUUAAUCAAAUUAUUUUGAAGAUUACGGCUCAAUGGCUCUUGGUAAGGGAUAAAGGCAGCAGUUCCGGGAAUGCAAACGCAAUAUUUGUCUUGCAGAGAUGUUUUAAAUGCUAAGCAACAGGCCACCUUAAAAUUGGUUUUGUGACUCUUCUACUCAAGCAGCUGGCAUUUGCAGC
Molecule: long non-coding RNA, 2184 nt
Organism: Tympanuchus pallidicinctus (lesser prairie-chicken)
Lineage: Eukaryota; Metazoa; Chordata; Aves; Galliformes; Phasianidae
Exons: 2
Source: RefSeq, a predicted model, not a curated record